Molecule: small nuclear RNA, 89 nt
Filed under: Oryzias latipes (Japanese medaka)
Lineage: Eukaryota; Metazoa; Chordata; Actinopteri; Beloniformes; Adrianichthyidae
Source: RNAcentral
UAUAAUAAAAUAAUAAAAAUAUACUAAAAUUGGAACGAUACAGAGAAGAUUAGCAUGGCCCCUAAUAACGGGUGGUUGCCCAUUCUUCU